GACGAACGCUGGCGGCGUGCUUAACACAUGCAAGUCGUACGGUAAGGCCCUUUCGGGGGUACACGAGUGGCGAACGGGUGAGUAACACGUGAGUAACCUGCCCACAACUUUGGGAUAACGCUAGGAAACUGGUGCUAAUACUGGAUAUGUGCUCCUGCUGCAUGGUGGGGGUUGGAAAGCUCCGGCGGUCGUGGAUGGACUCGCGGCCUAUCAGCUUGUUGGUGGGGUAGUGGCCUACCAAGGCGGCGACGGGUAGCCGGCCUGAGAGGGUGACCGGCCACAUUGGGACUGAGAUACGGCCCAGACUCCUACGGGAGGCAGCAGUGGGGAAUAUUGCACAAUGGGCGCAAGCCUGAUGCAGCAACGCCGCGUGCGGGAUGACGGCCUUCGGGUUGUAAACCGCUUUCAGCAGGGACGAAGCUUUUUGUGACGGUACCUGCAGAAGAAGCACCGGCUAACUACGUG
RNAcentral lists this ribosomal RNA (465 nucleotides) under uncultured bacterium. RNAcentral describes it as "partial 16S ribosomal RNA". It matches the Rfam family "Bacterial small subunit ribosomal RNA", at positions 28 to 507 of the family's 1533-position model. The record is from RNAcentral.